Molecule: ribosomal RNA, 362 nt
Filed under: Escherichia sp. E4742
Lineage: Bacteria; Pseudomonadati; Pseudomonadota; Gammaproteobacteria; Enterobacterales; Enterobacteriaceae
Description: bacterial SSU rRNA
Rfam family: Bacterial small subunit ribosomal RNA
Source: RNAcentral
ACGUCAAGUCAUCAUGGCCCUUACGACCAGGGCUACACACGUGCUACAAUGGCGCAUACAAAGAGAAGCGACCUCGCGAGAGCAAGCGGACCUCAUAAAGUGCGUCGUAGUCCGGAUUGGAGUCUGCAACUCGACUCCAUGAAGUCGGAAUCGCUAGUAAUCGUGGAUCAGAAUGCCACGGUGAAUACGUUCCCGGGCCUUGUACACACCGCCCGUCACACCAUGGGAGUGGGUUGCAAAAGAAGUAGGUAGCUUAACCUUCGGGAGGGCGCUUACCACUUUGUGAUUCAUGACUGGGGUGAAGUCGUAACAAGGUAACCGUAGGGGAACCUGCGGUUGGAUCACCUCCUUACCUUAAAGAA